RNAcentral lists this ribosomal RNA (234 nucleotides) under uncultured bacterium. RNAcentral describes it as "partial 16S ribosomal RNA". It matches the Rfam family "Bacterial small subunit ribosomal RNA", at positions 794 to 1027 of the family's 1533-position model. The record is from RNAcentral.
UCCACGCUGUAAACGAUGAGUGCUAGGUGUUAGGGGUUUCGAUGCCCUUAGUGCCGUAGUUAACACAUUAAGCACUCCGCCUGGGGAGUACGGCCGCAAGGCUGAAACUCAAAGGAAUUGACGGGGGCCCGCACAAGCAGUGGAGCAUGUGGUUUAAUUCGAAGCAACGCGAAGAACCUUACCAGGACUUGACAUCCCGCUGACCGGUAUAGAGAUAUACCUUUUCUUCGGAAC